UUUUUUUCGUAACGGAAAUGUCUACCUAGAAACUAUAUUUAAUAAACUGGAACAUCAUUCAUUCUAACAAAUACCAAACCAAUGACCUCAAUUAUAAGAUCCGAAUACUAUAACCCAGAAGUUAAACAUAUAGUGGACGAGACUGGACAAUUUGGACCUAACGUACACAGUAGAUACAGCUAAUUGUGAAGUUUUACAGAGUUAUAUCUAUCUUGCGUUUACUAUCUCUAGUACAGGGAGAUAUGGGGACGAAAUCAAUUGACGGAGCGAAAUCGCCAGAUCGACUGUAGAACGGCAGGGAAAGAGCGACAGAAAAGUUACCAAGAAAACAAUAAAACUCUGAUUGCUACGAGCUUUAUAUCACAGUUGUACGAGCGACCAACCUGUUUAUGUACCGAUUCAUAUUGCAAAGGAUUAUGAGAUUGCAAAGCAAGUGCUCGUUGAAUCUCCAUGACAACGAAGCUGCGUCGUAAGGGCUGUAAACACAAUUGAAUUGCAAUGAUAAAAUAUAAUGAAGAAAGCAUAAAGGUUAUUCCAAUAAAAUAAGCGUAUUUAUAUGAAUUUGUAUACCUUGAUCUUUAAAAAAAAAACAGAAUAUCAAUUGGUGGUAUGAAAUCCUUCCUAUCAAAGUUCGAUUCACAUUCUACCUUGUUUUUUUUGAGUUCUUAUUCUACUUGGUCACGAG
This 685-nucleotide unclassified non-coding RNA is filed under the name Melitaea cinxia (Glanville fritillary). RNAcentral describes it as "misc RNA ENSMCXG00005019829.1". Lineage: Eukaryota; Metazoa; Arthropoda; Insecta; Lepidoptera; Nymphalidae. The record is from RNAcentral.